Long non-coding RNA from Micropterus salmoides (largemouth bass), 639 nucleotides. RefSeq lists it as uncharacterized. Lineage: Eukaryota; Metazoa; Chordata; Actinopteri; Centrarchiformes; Centrarchidae. The record is from RefSeq and is a predicted model, not a curated record. The transcript has 2 exons.
GACAGAGAGAGACAAAGUACAAGUACCACAAAGUAAAAACCUCCAAACACCUCAAAGUUACGGUGUUUAAGUUUAGCACUUUUGGUUACUGGUGGUUAUUGCAAAUGUGUUUUAAUGAUCAGUUACAGGUCCCAGAGUACUGUCAAGUCCAGACUGCAUAAAUGGUUCCUGUGAGUCUCUCGUGCAAAGGGUCACAAGCUCUGAUUUCGUUUUGCCCAUCCAUUCAGUCCCGCAAGGUGAGAACCAGCCGAGAAGAGCACCAGCCGCCAGUCUCUGGCAGCAGCAGGUAACCGGUCACACAGCAGCUGAUAGUUAAUGAGACAGCUAGCCAACUGCCAGUUAGCAGCCACCUGGCCAGCCAGCAGCUGGUGACCAGCCCCUGAACCAGCCAGACACCAUUAGGCAGCUACCAAUCUGUCACCCAGGGAGCCAACAGGGAGCCAGCAAUACUACAGAAGGUUCACAAGGACAACCUGACUAAGACUGAGAUGGGAAAAAAUAAGUCACUACAGCAGUCAGGUGCCCAGAUUCAGUUGAAAGCCAAGGACAGGGAAAAGGGUUUACAUGAUCUUCAUCCUGACCUCUGAUAUGUUGAAGGAGCGGGGCAACAUGCACAAAUAAAGAAUGUUGCCACUUAAA